RNAcentral lists this ribosomal RNA (207 nucleotides) under uncultured bacterium. Its description in RNAcentral is "partial 16S ribosomal RNA". It matches the Rfam family "Bacterial small subunit ribosomal RNA", at positions 568 to 774 of the family's 1533-position model. The record is from RNAcentral.
CGUGUAGGCGGUCCGCUAAGUCUGAUGUGAAAGCCCGGGGCUCACCCCCGGAAGGGCAUUGGAAACUGGCGGACUCGAGUCCCGGAGAGGAGGGUGGAAUUCCUGGUGUAGCGGUGAAAUGCGUAGAUAUCAGGAGGAACACCGGUGGCGAAGGUGGCCCUCUGGACGGUGACUGACGCUGAGACGCGAAAGCGUGGGGAGCAAACA